CCCUUAGAUGUUCUGGGCCGCACGCGCGCUACACUGAUGCAUGCAACGAGUUCUAUCCUUGGCCGGAAGGCCUGGGUAAUCUGUGAACGUGCAUCGUGAUAGGGAUAGAUUAUUGCAAUUAUUAAUCUUGAACGAGGAAUUCCUAGUAAACGCAAGUCAUCAGCUUGCGUUGAUUACGUCCCUGCCCUUUGUACACACCGCCCGUCGCACCUACCGAUCGAAGGUAAUGAUGAGCCCUCAGGAUUGUGGCCUCGUCGCGUCAGCGUCUUGGCUGCGAGAAUCUGUGCAAAUCCCUACCUUUAGAGGAAGGUGAAGUCGUAACA
This 323-nucleotide ribosomal RNA is filed under the name uncultured eukaryote. RNAcentral describes it as "partial 18S ribosomal RNA". It matches the Rfam family "Eukaryotic small subunit ribosomal RNA", at positions 1470 to 1796 of the family's 1831-position model. The record is from RNAcentral.